UAAACCUCCUUCCUACAGCUGUAACUCAACUCUAAAUCCACCGUGCUUUCACGCAGAACAUUCUAGAUCACACACUGUUGCUCUGGUGCUGCACUGUUGC
Molecule: long non-coding RNA, 100 nt
Organism: Amblyraja radiata (thorny skate)
Lineage: Eukaryota; Metazoa; Chordata; Chondrichthyes; Rajiformes; Rajidae
Exons: 3
Source: RefSeq, a predicted model, not a curated record